Molecule: non-coding RNA, 109 nt
Filed under: [Eubacterium] cellulosolvens
Lineage: Bacteria; Bacillati; Bacillota; Clostridia; Eubacteriales; Eubacteriaceae
Description: Eubacterium cellulosolvens TPP sequence
Rfam family: TPP riboswitch aptamer (THI element)
About the family: Vitamin B(1) in its active form thiamin pyrophosphate (TPP) is an essential coenzyme that is synthesised by coupling of pyrimidine and thiazole moieties in bacteria.
Source: RNAcentral
UAAUGAGCAGCGGGGAGCCGGAUGUAUCCGGCUGAGAGGAGGAUGUAAGUUCUCGACCCAUUGACCUGAUUUGGAUCAUGCCAACGUAGGAAGUGACUGUUAAGCAAGA